This 76-nucleotide transfer RNA is filed under the name Achromobacter anxifer. RNAcentral's name for it is "tRNA-Lys". It matches the Rfam family "tRNA". Rfam says of the family: Transfer RNA (tRNA) molecules are approximately 80 nucleotides in length. Their secondary structure includes four short double-helical elements and three loops (D, anti-codon, and T loops). The record is from RNAcentral. Lineage: Bacteria; Pseudomonadati; Pseudomonadota; Betaproteobacteria; Burkholderiales; Alcaligenaceae.
CGGCGCGUCGCCCAGUUGGUAGGGCAGCGGACUUUUAAUCCGCAAGGCGUGGGUUCGAACCCCACCGCGCCGACCA